Molecule: ribosomal RNA, 235 nt
Filed under: Oreasteridae sp. C11
Lineage: Eukaryota; Metazoa; Echinodermata; Asteroidea; Valvatida; Oreasteridae
Description: partial 28S ribosomal RNA
Rfam family: Eukaryotic large subunit ribosomal RNA
Source: RNAcentral
ACUGUGGCGUAAGGAAUUCCGGUCCGGCGGUCGCGGCGGCGCCGAGGUCCUUCUGAUCGAGGCCCCCUCCGUCCCGUGGCGGGUGUCAGGCCCCUGCGGGCGCCGCCCGGCGGCCGACCAGGGCUUCCGGGAGUCGGGUUGUUUUGUAGCGCAGCCCAAAGGCGGGUGGUAAACUCCAUCCAAGGCUAAAUACCGGCACGAGACCGAUAGAGCACAAGUACCAUGAGGGAAAGUA